CUCGACAUAGCUCAGUUGGUAGAGCGGAGGACUGUAGUCGUCGCAGAAAAUCCUUAGGUCACUGGUUCGAAUCCGGUUGUCGAGA
Molecule: transfer RNA, 85 nt
Filed under: Klebsormidium nitens
Lineage: Eukaryota; Viridiplantae; Streptophyta; Klebsormidiophyceae; Klebsormidiales; Klebsormidiaceae
Rfam family: tRNA
About the family: Transfer RNA (tRNA) molecules are approximately 80 nucleotides in length.
Source: Rfam by way of RNAcentral